RNAcentral lists this long non-coding RNA (3215 nucleotides) under Limulus polyphemus (Atlantic horseshoe crab). RNAcentral describes it as "uncharacterized LOC111089054". Lineage: Eukaryota; Metazoa; Arthropoda; Merostomata; Xiphosura; Limulidae. The record is from RNAcentral.
GUGUUACACGGAGGUACUGUUUUAAGACUGUUGUGUGUUACACGGAGGUACUGUUUUAAGACUGUGUUGUGUGUUACACGGAGGUACUGUUUUAAGACUGUGUUGUGUGUUACAAAGGGGUACUGUUUUAAGACUGUUGUGUGUUACACGGAGGUACUGUUUUAAGACUGUGUUGUGUGUUACACGGAGGUACUGUUUUAAGACUGUGUUGUGUGUUACAAAGGGGUACUGUUUUAAGAUUGUGUUGUGUGUUACAAAGGGGUACUGUUUUAAGACUGUUGUGUGUUACACGGGGGUACUGUUUUAAGACUGUGUUGUGUGUUACACGGAGGUACUGUUUUAAGACUGUAUGCUGACUAAGGCAGGAGAGGUUUUUGUCAACACAUAUGACUGCUUGUUUUGUAAUUAGUGGAUAAAAUUUUCUUAUUCUGAAUGCUACGCAGUAGUUAAGGGUAACCUUCAAGCACAUGAUGUAUUUAAUUGGUUUACUGAUAAAAAAAAAUGUUUUCUUUUGAUGUACUUUUCAAUAAAGUGUUAUUAUAUCUGUACUUAUCAAUAAUGGUGAGAUUAAAAGGAAGUGGAAAGUUUAGGAAUUAUGAAUUUUCCUAGAGUAGAAGUUAAGUUGUCAAUCAGUACCGUUAUUUCUUCAUAUAAUAAUGUAUGGACAAUACGAAUCAAAUCAAAAAAAACUUUCCUCUGUAAUAUUCAUAAACAGGUUGUUCUCGUUUAUCAGUUCUAACGAAUGCGGCCUGAGAUGGCCAGAUGGUUAGGGUGCUCGACUCCCAACCUGAGGGUCCUAACCAAACACGCUCGCCCUUUCGGUCAUGGGGGCAUUAUAACGUGAUGGUCAAUCCCACUAUUCGUUGGUAAAAGAAUAGCCCAAGAGUUGGCGGUGGGUGGUGGUGAUUAGCUGCCUUCCCUCUAGUCUUUUACUGCUAAAUUAGGGACAGCUAGCACAGAUAGCCCUCGUGUAGCUUUGUGUGAAAUCCAAACCAAACUCUCACAAAUGUGGGUUUACAGUAAUGGAAACGCGACAUAAAAAAUUUUCAAAUCUCUUAAACUUCUUACCCUGACAAAUGUUUAACUUUAGUAUUAUUAAUGAAAUAUUAUAUUUUGAGGUAUAUAAUGUGAGAUUUAAUUAACAGAUAAUAAACCUGUUAAAGUUAUACUAUAACAGUUUUCACUUUAGAUACUGAUAUGACUGGAUGUUUCUUUAUGUCAUUUUCAAACCAGUGUAUUAACACUAAAACUGAGACAAGAUUAUUUAUGUUUUACUUUGAUCUGCUUGUAUUACUUAAAUGUUCUUAAGGAUUAUCACAUAUCAAUCUUUGUUAUGUUUAGUAUCUAUAUGGUUACCUAAAUCUAAGGAUCGUUUAGUUACUGUGUACUAAGCAGAAGGCUUGACUGAAAUAAAUGUGAAUGUGGAGCAAAACCUGAAAAAUAUUUAUACAUUCAAGCUAUAUCAAGAAAGAAUGACAACUUCCAUAAUUCUUAUUUAGACUUGUAUUGAGUGAAAUACCAAAAAUACUUUAUUUUGGAGCAAUUUGUAUUUAUGGCAAAUACAAUCCCUAAUUUUGAACUACUAACAACAGGGAAGGCAGUCGGUCAGCAGCAUCCUAUCGCCCAUAUUAAUGAACUGACUGUCACUCUUACAAUGCACCCACUGCUUAAAAUGCAUGAAAUAUUUAAUGGCAUUGCACAGCUUCAAAUCAGGCUCACCAGCUCUGAAAUCCAGAGCUCUUACUACAGGGUCAGUUCAUACCCAUUUUGGAAGAAAUUCCAAAUAGUCCUGUGUUAAACUAAAUGAGACAUCAAAAACUUAAAAAAUAAACAGUUGGUUGAACCAUUAAAAAAAAGUGUUUUUGUUCAUUAUUAUCUGAACUUUAUUUUAUUGUAAACAAAAUUUAAUAAAUCCAACAACUAUAUUGAGCUGUAAAUUUAUAAUACUGAAUUAGUAUGUAAGUAAUAACCUGAAAGUAUGUUUAAAUUUUUUUUAAAUGAAUGAUACAGGUUUGAAAAAAAACAUUUCAGUCAUUAUCAGUUAGGCUUGAUAAUAAUAAUAAAUUAGGCUUGGGAUGAAAUUUUGGUUAAGAUAUUGUUUGAUCUUUAUAGCCGGUCUAAUUUUAACAGGUUUUGUUCUCAUAGAAUCUUGAUAUUUAUUUACUAGCUACAAAUAAUGCCUUCUGAUUAAAUAUUUACAAAAGAGUCUGUGUGAAAAUCAAAAAUGCAUCAUGAAGCUUAACAAUUUUGAGCUAUUACUGUCAACUAAUUGUUAUAAUAUUAAUAGGAGAUUGAUAGUGAAGUAUUAGUUUUGUGUUUAAGAAUUUGGAUGAUGAUAUUUGUAUGUUUAACAUAGUUCUACUAACAAGCAUUGAAUUUGUGUGCUACGAUAAAUACUAAUAAUUACAUCCUACUUUGCUAUGUGUUAAUGAGUUACGUGACAUAUAUAUUUUAAAUUCUUAUAUACUUGCAUUAUAACUUCUAUUAGUAAGUUGGAGAAAUAAGAAUAGGAACAAAUACUCCUCAAACUUUAUUUUUUGUAAUUCUCGUGUAUUGAAUAUGUGAAAAAAACAGUGCAAGAUAUGGCAAUUAAAUAUACCAAAGAACGCAAAUUAUCUUUAUUCUUGUCAAAACUCAGACAAGUUAAAAAAAAAAAAAUGGAGGGGUAGUCAACAGUAGUGUAGUUUAAAUUAAAAAUUCUGUCUGUAGAUGAUACGAUUUUCUUUUGCCAGAUGUACCUUUUUAACCCACCUUACCAAGGAUGCUUCUCCUUCAUCAAAGUUAGGAUGAAAUUUUUAUUGUAACAGUUACAAGAACUUGUUCUUUAUAAAUGUAUAUCUUUAAUUUUAUUGGUUCUGAGACAGAAUGAAUUGUGGUGUAAAUUACUGCUUUAUGUACAUCUUGGAUUUUAGUAUCAUGGCCAGGAUAUUAGAAUAUUAACUCCUAAGUUAUUUUGUCUACAAUAUCAUUAUUUGAUUUAAUAUUUUAACUACAGUUAAUAAUUUUUAUUUAAAUACCAACCUUGAACUUGUGCAGUUUUUAUGUAGCCAAGUUGUAAAAUAUAUUGAAUGGUUAUGUUUUUUGUUUUUUUAUGCAUUUAUGAAAAAUAUGUUUUGUCAGUAGUAUUAGGAAUAUCUCAACCAGCUAAGUUGUUGUUGCUAAAUGUACUAUACAUGAAAUAUCAUCAAUAAAGGUACAUCUUUAGUCAUUUUGAA